AGUGAACGCUGGCGGUAGGCCUAACACAUGCAAGUCGAACGGCAGCACAGUAAGAGCUUGCUCUUACGGGUGGCGAGUGGCGGACGGGUGAGGAAUACAUCGGAAUCUACUUUUUCGUGGGGGAUAACGUAGGGAAACUUACGCUAAUACCGCAUACGACCUACGGGUGAAAGCAGGGGAUCUUCGGACCUUGCGCGAUUGAAUGAGCCGAUGUCGGAUUAGCUAGUUGGCGGGGUAAAGGCCCACCAAGGCGACGAUCCGUAGCUGGUCUGAGAGGAUGGUCAGCCACACUGGAACUGAGACGCGGUCCAGACUCCUACGGGAGGCAACAGUGGGGAAUAUUAGGCAAUGGGCGGAAGCCUGAUCCAGCCAUACCACGUGGGUGGAGAAGGCCUUCCGGUUGUAAAGCCCUUUUGUUGGGAAAGAAAAGCAGCAGGUUAAUACCCCGCUGUUCUGACGGUACCCAAAGAAUAAGCACCGGCUAACUUCGUG
RNAcentral lists this ribosomal RNA (492 nucleotides) under uncultured bacterium. RNAcentral describes it as "partial 16S ribosomal RNA". It matches the Rfam family "Bacterial small subunit ribosomal RNA", at positions 29 to 507 of the family's 1533-position model. The record is from RNAcentral.